AGGGAAUCUUCCACAAUGGGCGCAAGCCUGAUGGAGCAACACCGCGUGAGUGAAGAAGGGUUUCGGCUCGUAAAGCUCUGUUGUUGGAGAAUAACGGUGGUGAGAGUAACUGUUAACGCAGUUACGGUAUCCAACCAGAAAGUCACGGCUAACUACGUGCCCGCAGCCGCGGUAAUACGUAGGUGGCAAGCGUUAUCGGGAUUUAUUGGGCGUAAAGCGAGCGCAGGCGGUUGCUUAGGUCUGAUGUGAAAGCCUUCGGCUUAACCGAAGAAGUGCAUCGGAAACCGGGCGACUUGAGUGCAGAAGAGGACAGUGGAACUCCAUGUGUAGCGGUGGAAUGCGUAGAUAUAUGGAAGAACACCAGUGGCGAAGGCGGCUGUCUGGUCUGCAACUGACGCUGAGGCUCGAAAGCAUGGGUAGCGAACAGG
Molecule: ribosomal RNA, 428 nt
Filed under: uncultured bacterium
Lineage: Bacteria
Description: bacterial SSU rRNA
Rfam family: Bacterial small subunit ribosomal RNA
Source: RNAcentral